AUGGCUGUGAGCACCAACACAGAACACAGUGUAUUCCACAUGGAGACAGCACUGCUCUUCAUCCUCAUCAUGGCAGCAGAUGUAACUGCUGACCACAUCAAUCCCACACAGGAACAUUUUACCAAGGUUGAAGAUGAAGCUGUCAAACUGAAAUGCUCUUAUGGAACAGGCAGUAGCUCUGCAUAUCUUCUUUGGUACAGGCAGUAUCCUUACCAAGCACCGGUAUAUUUGUUACAGACACAAGGAAAAGGUGGUUCAUUUGCAGUCAUCCCUGACAAACGAUAUGAUUCCAAAGCCUCAGAAUCAUCCACUGAGCUCAAUAUUAAACGUCUGACUCUGGCAGACACAGGCCUCUACUACUGUGCUCUGCAGGUCGCCCAGUGA
This is a non-coding RNA of Sardina pilchardus (European sardine), 384 nucleotides long. The record is from the annotation of a RefSeq genome assembly. Lineage: Eukaryota; Metazoa; Chordata; Actinopteri; Clupeiformes; Clupeidae.